AACGAACGCUGGCGGCAUGCCUAACACAUGCAAGUCGAACGAGACCUUCGGGUCUAGUGGCGCACGUGUGCGUAACACGUGGGAACCUGCCCUUAGGUUCGGACUAACUCCCCGAAAGGGGUGCUCAUACCGGUUAAUGUCUUCGGACCAAAGAUUUAUCGCCUUUGGAUGGGCCCGCGUUGGAUUAGCUGGUUGGUAGGGUAAAAGCAUACCAUGGCGACGAUCCAUAGCUGGUCUGUGAGGAUGAUCAGCCACACUGGGACUGAGACACGGCCCAGACUCCUACGGGAGGCAGCAGUGGGGAAUAUUGGACAAGGGGCGAAAGCCUGAUCAAGCAAUGCCGGGUGAGUGAUGAAGGCCUUAGGGUUGUAAAGCUCUUUUACCCGGGAUGAUAAUGACAGUACCGGGAGAAUAAGCUCCGGCUAACUCCGUG
Molecule: ribosomal RNA, 433 nt
Filed under: uncultured bacterium
Lineage: Bacteria
Description: partial 16S ribosomal RNA
Rfam family: Bacterial small subunit ribosomal RNA
Source: RNAcentral